UCCUUCCCGCGCCACCCGGACACGGAGUUAAACAGUGCCGGCCCGCCGGAGAGGCACCUGGGAUUUUUUCUUCCCAAAAGCGCACGCGCAAUGAACCUCCCAGCGGGUCAUGCUGGGUUAUGUAGUUUCGGUCUCUCGCUAUGCCAGCACAGAGCAACGUGGGGCAGCCUGGUGUAGUGGUGAGAGCUGAGGGUUGGUAGUGCACUAUCGGUUCUCCUUCUGUAUAGCAUUCAAGGUGACCUGAUGCUUUAGUUUCCAGAAGGAGGAGUGGGGACCUAGAGAGACAAAAGAUUCCUGCCUUGUGCCAAAGCUAUCAAAGGGGGUGAAACAGGACAAAGGGCUGCCAGUCAUGAGAGAGCCCCUGUUUUUCACCUAAGAUAUCUGCUGGAACCAACAAGAACUGUACUAGGGAAAAUGAUGGAGCCCAGACUAGGAAGGAGUCUAGUCUAUGAAAGAAGCUUACUGAAACAUGUCUGAGGAAUUCCCCCAGCAGUACCCAUCUGUGGUUCUUC
Molecule: long non-coding RNA, 512 nt
Organism: Gopherus evgoodei (Goodes thornscrub tortoise)
Lineage: Eukaryota; Metazoa; Chordata; Testudines; Testudinidae
Exons: 3
Source: RefSeq, a predicted model, not a curated record